RNAcentral lists this ribosomal RNA (118 nucleotides) under Cobetia sp. BMC6. RNAcentral describes it as "partial 16S ribosomal RNA". It matches the Rfam family "Bacterial small subunit ribosomal RNA", at positions 1 to 113 of the family's 1533-position model. Lineage: Bacteria; Pseudomonadati; Pseudomonadota; Gammaproteobacteria; Oceanospirillales; Halomonadaceae. The record is from RNAcentral.
CAACUGAAGAGUUUGAUCAUGGCUCAGAUUGAACGCUGGCGGCAGGCUUAACACAUGCAAGUCGAGCGGAAACGAUUCUAGCUUGCUAGAAGGCGUCGAGCGGCGGACGGGUGAGUAA